AGUCGGAGCCUCUUUAUGGGGUGACGGCGUACCUCUUGCAUAAUGGGUCAGUGACUUACUGUAUCGUGCAAGCUUAAGCCGUUAGGUGGAGGCGCAGCGAAAGCGAGUCUGAAUAGGGCGUCAUAGUUCGUAGGAUUAGACCCGAAACCGGGUGAUCUAGCCAUGGGCAGGCUGAAGGUGCGGUAACACGCACUGGAGGGCCGAACCCACUGAUGUUGAAAAAUCACGGGAUGACUUGUGGCUAGGGGUGAAAGGCCAAUCAAACCGGGCAAUAGCUGGUUCUCCCCGAAAUAGUUUUAGGACUAGCGUUUUGCGUUCAGUCGGGGGGGUAGAGCACUGAAAGGAUUAGGGGACCUACCAGUCUACCAAACCCUCUCAAACUCCGAAUACCCCGACUCUAGAGCAAGGCAGUCAGACCGUGGGGGAUAAGCUCCAUGGUCGAAAGGGAAACAGCCCAGAUCGUC
This 464-nucleotide ribosomal RNA is filed under the name Isochrysis galbana. RNAcentral's name for it is "partial Bacterial large subunit ribosomal RNA". It matches the Rfam family "Bacterial large subunit ribosomal RNA", at positions 572 to 1036 of the family's 2925-position model. The record is from RNAcentral. Lineage: Eukaryota; Haptophyta; Isochrysidales; Isochrysidaceae.